RNAcentral lists this ribosomal RNA (377 nucleotides) under uncultured Actinomycetes bacterium. RNAcentral's name for it is "bacterial SSU rRNA". It matches the Rfam family "Bacterial small subunit ribosomal RNA", at positions 521 to 896 of the family's 1533-position model. The record is from RNAcentral. Lineage: Bacteria; Bacillati; Actinomycetota; Actinomycetes.
UAAUACGGGGGGGGCGAGCGUUGCUCGGAAUCAUUGGGCGUAAAGGGCUAGUAGGCGGUUUGCUAAGUCAGUUGUGAAAUCCCACGGCUCAACCGUGGAACUGCAGCUGAUACUGGCGAACUUGAGUGUUGGAGAGGAUGGCGGAAUUCCAUAUGUAGCGGUGAAAUGCGUAGAUAUAUGGAGGAACACCGGUGGCGAAGGCGGCUAUCUGGACAACAACUGACGCUGAGGAGCGAAAGCGUGGGGAGCAAACAGGAUUAGAUACCCUGGUAGUCCACGCUGUAAACGUUGGGCACUUGGUGUGUCGGGUAUCGAUCCCUGACGUGCCGAAGUUAACGCAUUAAGUGCCCCGCCUGGGAAGUACGGUCGCAAGACUA